RNAcentral lists this ribosomal RNA (222 nucleotides) under uncultured bacterium. RNAcentral describes it as "partial 16S ribosomal RNA". It matches the Rfam family "Bacterial small subunit ribosomal RNA", at positions 328 to 539 of the family's 1533-position model. The record is from RNAcentral.
ACGCUCGACACCUACCGGAGGCAGCAGUAGGGAAUCUUCCACAAUGGGCGCAAGCCUGAUGGAGCAACACCGCGUGAGUGAAGAAGGGUUUCGGCUCGUAAAGCUCUGUUGUUGGAGAAGAACGUGCGUGAGAGUAACUGUUCACGCAGUGACGGUAUCCAACCAGAAAGUCACGGCUAACUACGUGCAGCAGCCGCGGUAAUCUGAGCGGGCUGGCAAGGC